GAUGAAGAACGCAGCGAAAUGCGAUACGUAAUGUGAAUCGCAAAUUCAGUGAAUCAUCGAGUCUUUGAACGCACAUUGCGCCCCCUGGUAUUCCGGGGGGCAUGCCUGUCCGAGCGUCAUUGCUGCCCUCAAGCACGGCUUGUGUGUUGGGCCCCGUCCUCCGAUCCCGGGGGACGGGCCCGAAAGGCAGCGGCGGCACCGCGUCCGGUCCUCGAGCGUAUGGGGCUUUGUCACCCGCUCUGUAGGCCCGGCCGGCGCUUGCCGAUCAACCCAAAUUUUUUAUCCAGGUUGAGCUCGGAUCAGGUAGGGAUACCCGCUGAACUUAAGCAUAUCAAUAAGCGGAGGA
This 346-nucleotide unclassified non-coding RNA is filed under the name soil metagenome. RNAcentral's name for it is "partial contains 5.8S ribosomal RNA, internal transcribed spacer 2, and large subunit ribosomal RNA". The stretch from base 1 to 119 matches the Rfam family "5.8S ribosomal RNA", at positions 35 to 154 of the family's 154-position model. The record is from RNAcentral.